This 477-nucleotide ribosomal RNA is filed under the name uncultured bacterium. RNAcentral describes it as "partial 16S ribosomal RNA". It matches the Rfam family "Bacterial small subunit ribosomal RNA", at positions 28 to 506 of the family's 1533-position model. The record is from RNAcentral.
GAUGAACGCUGGCGGCGUGCUUAACACAUGCAAGUCGAACGGGAAACCUUUUAAUGAAGCUUCGGCAGAUUUAGCUGGUUUCUAGUGGCGGACGGGUGAGUAACGCGUGGGUAACCUGCCUUAUACAGGGGGAUAACAGUCAGAAAUGACUGCUAAUACCGCAUAAGCGCACAGGACCGCAUGGUCCGGUGUGAAAAACUCCGGUGGUAUAAGAUGGACCCGCGUUGGAUUAGCUUGUUGGUGGGGUAACGGCUCACCAAGGCGACGAUCCAUAGCCGGCCUGAGGGGGGGAACGGCCACAUGGGGAAUGAGACACGGCCCAGACCCCCACGGGGGGCAGCAGUGGGGAAAAUGGCAAAAGGGGGGAAGCCCUGAGGCAGCGACGCCGGGGGAAGGAAGAAGUAUCUCGGUAUGUAAACUUCUAUCAGCAGGGAAGAUAGUGACGGUACCUGACUAAGAAGCCCCGGCUAACUACGG